GCCUACGGGGGGCAGCAGUGAGGAAUAUUGGUCAAUGGGCGCGAGCCUGAACCAGCCAAGUCGCGUGAGGGAAGACGGUCCUAUGGAUUGUAAACCUCUUUUGCCGGGGAGCAAGCUGUGCCACGUGUGGCGCAGCUGAGAGUACCCGGAGAAAAAGCAUCGGCUAACUCCGUGCCAGCAGCCGCGGUAAUACGGAGGAUGCGAGCGUUAUCCGGAUUUAUUGGGUUUAAAGGGUGCGUAGGCGGACUGUCAAGUCAGCGGUAAAAUUGAGAGGCUCAACCUCUUCGAGCCGUUGAAACUGGUUU
RNAcentral lists this ribosomal RNA (305 nucleotides) under uncultured bacterium. RNAcentral's name for it is "bacterial SSU rRNA". It matches the Rfam family "Bacterial small subunit ribosomal RNA", at positions 337 to 639 of the family's 1533-position model. The record is from RNAcentral.